Molecule: ribosomal RNA, 474 nt
Filed under: uncultured fungus
Lineage: Eukaryota; Fungi
Description: partial 18S ribosomal RNA
Rfam family: Eukaryotic small subunit ribosomal RNA
Source: RNAcentral
GACUCAACACGGGGAAACUCACCAGGUUCAGAUGAAAUAAGGAUUGACAGAUUGAGAGCUCUUUNUUGAUUUUUCAGGUGGUGGNNCAUGNCCGUUNUUAGUUCGUGGGGUGACUUGUCUGNUUAAUUGCGAUAACGAGCGAGACCUUACUNUNNUAAAUAGCCAGGCUAGCUUUGGCUGGUCGCCGGCUUNUUAGAGAGACUAUCAACUCAAGUUGAUGGAAGUNNGAGGCAAUANCAGGUNUGUGAUGCCNUNAGAUAUUNUGGGCCGCACGCGCGCUACACUGACAGAGCCAACGAGUUCUUUCCCUUGGCCGAAAGGUCUGGGUAAUCUUGUUAAACUCNGUCGUGCUGGGGAUAAAGCAUUGCAAUUAUUGCUUUUCAACGAGGAAUGCNUAGUAAGCGCGUGUCAUCAGCAUGCGUUGAUUACGUCCCUGACCUUUGUACNCNCCNCCCGUCNCUACUACCGAUUGAA